UCCGGCUUAUCACCGGCGGUUUCCUUAGAGUGCCCAACUAAAUGAUGGCAACUAAGGACGAGGGUUGCGCUCGUUGCGGGACUUAACCCAACAUCUCACGACACGAGCUGACGACAGCCAUGCACCACCUGUGCACUGGCCCCGAAAGGCUGCCGUAUUUCUACGACAUUCCAGUGCAUGUCAAGCCUUGGUAAGGUUCUUCGCGUUGCGUCGAAUUAAGCAACAUGCUCCGCCGCUUGUGCGGGCCCCCGUCAAUUCCUCUGAGUUUUAGCCUUGCGGCCGUACUCCCCAGGCGGGGCGCUUAAUGCGUUAGCUACGGCACGGAGUCCGUGGAAGAACCCCACACCUAGCGCCCAACGUUUACGGCGUGGACUAC
This 376-nucleotide unclassified non-coding RNA is filed under the name uncultured Actinomycetes bacterium. RNAcentral's name for it is "uncultured actinobacterium contains 16S-23S intergenic spacer region". Lineage: Bacteria; Bacillati; Actinomycetota; Actinomycetes. The record is from RNAcentral.